AUACGUAGGGUGCAAGCGUUAAUCGGAAUUACUGGGCGUAAAGCGUGCGCAGGCGGUUCGGAAAGAAGGAUGUGAAAUCCCAGGGCUCAACCUUGGAACUGCAUUCUUAACUACCGAACUAGAGUAUGUCAGAGGGGGGUAGAAUUCCGCGUGUAGCAGUGAAAUGCGUAGAUAUGCGGAGGAAUACCGAUGGCGAAGGCAGCCCCCUGGGAUAAUACUGACGCUCAUGCACGAAAGCGUGGGUAGCAAACAGGAUUAGGUACCCUGGUAGUCCACGCCCUAAACGAUGUCAACUAGCUGUUGGGCCCUUCGGGGCUUAGUAGCGUAGCUAACGCGUGAAGUUGACCGCCUGGGGAGUACGGUCGCAAGAUUAAAACUCAAAUGAAUUGACGGGG
RNAcentral lists this ribosomal RNA (395 nucleotides) under uncultured bacterium. Its description in RNAcentral is "partial 16S ribosomal RNA". It matches the Rfam family "Bacterial small subunit ribosomal RNA", at positions 523 to 918 of the family's 1533-position model. The record is from RNAcentral.